UGCACAGUGAGACUGUUUUCCUCGAUUUGUUUUUCAAUGCCGGCCAAGCCUGUGUGUUAGUUAUACUAUAGUCACACGUACUUUAUAUUCUAAAUGGUCGUCAUUUAAUAUUUUUAAAUUAACGAAUCGCGUAUAAUGGCCGAGGGCAGUGGUAAUGUUGUAAACAUUACGCCCGGAGAACCACAGGUCAUAGGCCUCAUUGUUGACCAUCUGAAGAGUCGUGGCCUGUUCGACGAAUUCCGCAGAGAUUGUCUAGCUGAUGUCGAUACAAAACCAGCCUAUCAGAAUCUCAGGCAAAAAGUUGAUAACUUUGUGUCCACACACCUGGACAAUCAGGAGUGGAACCCGAACAUUAACAAGAACCAAGUGCGCAAUGGACUGAGGCAGAGUGUCAUCCAGUCAGGCAUGCUUGAGGCUGGAGUGGACAGAAUCAUUACUCAGGUGGUGGAUCCCAAACUUAAUCACAUUUUCAGGCCCCACAUAGAGAACGCCAUUCAUGAUUUCUUGGCUGCCGAGAAGAAGGAGGAGGCAGUGCCAACUCCAAAUGCAGAGCCUGAGAAGCAGGAGCCGCUCCCCACCGCUCCGAGUACACCAUGAGGUCAGGCACCUCUGCAUUUCAGACGCGACACCAAAGAGGGUAGGGAUGUGUACGGCAGACUACUGAUGAUGCUAUAACAUGUUGGAUUUGCAUCUUUUCUGCAGUUGUCAUUUCUGAUAACCCAAAGCAAUAGCCGACGUGUCAUAGACAGUCGAGUCUAUGCAAUUUAUGGAGAAGAGCAACUGAUGUAAAGGUGCACUAAAAUUACCCAGAAAAAAAUUCAAUAGCCUGUAAACUAAUGUUUGAUAUUGUUAAACAGGGUUUUGAUGACUGCCAAAAGAGUUUUGAUAGCCAGUGAAAAAAGCACAGUACAUUUUUAAAGGUUUAUUUUAUUACAGCUUAGAAAGCCUGUGCUAUCAAGCAUUUUUGCAAAUGUUUCUAACUUAAUUUUUUGCUGCUACAUGGAAAAUUGCACUGAACUUUAAUACUGUCCCUCAAUUGAUAAAUAUAAUACAGUAGCCAAAUGGUUAUGCAGUGGCCUUAAAAUGUGAAAGAAUCUGGCCAGCUAUGUGUGUUUUUUUUUUUCUUUCUUUUUCUUUGUUUUUUUCACUCUCUACAUUUCUGACCGACAUCACUGUUUGGGAUUUUGAAGCGUAAAACAGCAAUGGCAUGGGACGUGAUGUAAAUAACACAUACAUAUUUUGGACCAUGUGAUUCUUGUAAAAAUCACAGUUUGCAUUUAAAAUCUAAUCAUUCAGAUCUGUGGUGCAGCUGCCAGCUAACCCAUCCACAGAAAGCUCUAAGCUUGUCAUUUGUAACAUUAGGGGCAUUUGAGGGGCAUUACUGCAUGUCUGACACUCAGUUCUCAGUAUAGACAAUGGAUUCAACUGCUGUAAAGUCUUUUCUAUGACUUUUGUACUUAUGUACAUUUAUUGUGAGGGAAAAAAAAAACUCCUUUGUACUAAAUUUAUUUCAAAGUAAUACAUGUAACGGUAAAUGAAACAGCUUUAUUACUGCAUAUCUGGUACAAUUACCACAUAAAAAAUGUGUACUAGGUUUGGAAAUUUAAAUAAAAGCAUGAGUACACUAGCUUGGAAUACUCGUAAUUCAGGCAGAGUAACUUGAGCAGUGUUGGUUUUCCUUUUGUAUCCAUGAAUGCACAACAGGCUGUACUACAUUACACUAAUCAAAAUGUGUACUAAGAGCAGGCAAUUAACAAAGGGAAAGCCAGUAGGGUAGCAAGGGGGAGAGAUUGCCAUUCUGAACUCUCGAUUUGUGUGGAACCCCCACCCCCCCACCCCCAAAAGAAAUACCCGCCUCUUUAAUUUUGCUGGUUGUAGCCAGCGCAUUCUGCCAGUUGCUUUCAAGUGAUUUGAAUCAGCUGCUGCUAAGGUGGGAUAGAUUAAUACAUACAUGAUGAAAGGGGCAAGGCAUUUGUUUCAUUUCACACAAGCCCCUUUUUUAAACUAUCACCUUGCAAGUUCCAUCCAUCUUUAAACACAUGAGAAAUCCAUCAACCACAAAUGCAAUAUGUUUGUUUCAUUCGCUAUCAAGCCAUGCACAAUAGUUCUUUACCCUACAAAAACAGUUUCUGUAAUGGUGACUGUCUGGGCUGAUGUUACUUUCUGCUAUGACAUAUGGUUAUUGAACAUAAACAGGAUAAAUGGGUGUAUUGAAAAUAAACCCUAACGGUUCUGUUGGUAAGGUGCUCUUAAGGUUUUUAUCGUAUUGCAUUCGUUGCAUUGCUGAAAGUGUUGAUCUGACCAGACUUGCUCAUUUCAUCCACUAUAAAAAUAUAGCCUUCAGCUGUUGGCAAAAGUAACUAUUACUUUUUGCAUUAUAUUCCAUAUUGUUUAAGUGGUACUUUUAGUAACAUACACUGCCACUUCUUCAGGUUAUAUAUUUCCUGUUGCAUUUUCGGUCCAUAUUCACAAGACAGUUUUGAAUAAUGUUUUGUUAAGGGACUGUUUUUAAAAGCCUAUUUUGAUAAAUUAAGUAAAAUAAAUACAAAUUAUUUUGGAGGGUUUAUAUUAGU
This is an RNA transcript of Polyodon spathula (Mississippi paddlefish), 2573 nucleotides long. It is a transcript of the gene named biorientation of chromosomes in cell division protein 1-like, with no coding region annotated. The transcript is spliced from 4 exons. The record is from RefSeq and is a predicted model, not a curated record. NCBI's taxonomy places the organism in Eukaryota, Metazoa, Chordata, Actinopteri, Acipenseriformes, Polyodontidae.